Molecule: long non-coding RNA, 229 nt
Organism: Myotis brandtii (Brandt's bat)
Lineage: Eukaryota; Metazoa; Chordata; Mammalia; Chiroptera; Vespertilionidae
Exons: 3
Source: RefSeq, a predicted model, not a curated record
AGAAGACCCAUUUUCCAUUGUACGGUCCUCACAGGGGAGAGGCAUGGAGGAAUGGACCAGCUGUUGCAGAUCCAACGUUACCUGGGAGGUGAUGCUCCACUUCCCUGCCCUCCACCCCAAGUAGCCAAGGCUGAAACCUGACUGAUGCUGCCAGACUGACUCCCUUGCUCAAGGCCAAGUUCCCUGCUCCCCACAGAUUACAGAUGUCACCCAAAACAAAGAAGUAAAA